AGCUCAGCUGGAUAGAGCAUCGGCCUUCUAAGCCGAGGGUCGCAGGUUCGAAUCCUGGA
RNAcentral lists this transfer RNA (59 nucleotides) under Methylococcaceae bacterium. RNAcentral's name for it is "tRNA-Arg". It matches the Rfam family "tRNA", at positions 9 to 63 of the family's 71-position model. Rfam says of the family: Transfer RNA (tRNA) molecules are approximately 80 nucleotides in length. Their secondary structure includes four short double-helical elements and three loops (D, anti-codon, and T loops). The record is from RNAcentral. Lineage: Bacteria; Pseudomonadati; Pseudomonadota; Gammaproteobacteria; Methylococcales; Methylococcaceae.